GGGCCCUUGACUCAGUGGCAGGGCUUUUGCUUUGGAUGCAGGACGUUCCAAGUUCAAUCCCUGGCAGCUCCA
Molecule: transfer RNA, 72 nt
Filed under: Sphaerodactylus townsendi
Lineage: Eukaryota; Metazoa; Chordata; Lepidosauria; Squamata; Sphaerodactylidae
Description: tRNA-Pro
Source: RNAcentral